UACGAAGGGGGCGAGCGUUGUUCGGAUUUACUGGCGUAAAGGGCGCGCAGGCGGCUAGUCCAAGUCAGGCGUGAAAGCCCCGGGCUUAACCUGGGAGGUGCGUCUGGGACUGGUGGCUAGAGAUCGGGAGAGGAGAGUGGAAUUCCCAGUGUAGAGGUGAAAUUCGUAGAUAUUGGGAAGAACACCGGUGGCGAAGGCGGCUCUCUGGACCGAUACGUGACGCUGAGGCGCGAAAGCGUGGGGAGCAAAGCAGGG
This 255-nucleotide ribosomal RNA is filed under the name uncultured bacterium. Its description in RNAcentral is "partial 16S ribosomal RNA". It matches the Rfam family "Bacterial small subunit ribosomal RNA", at positions 524 to 778 of the family's 1533-position model. The record is from RNAcentral.